AUCGACAUGGAUGAGUUCAAAUAAGGAUUGUUGCUGGGAAAUGGGAGUCGUUACUGUUUAGAGAGAGGACAUAUGAAUUUUUGUUAAAAGCAACAUCAAUACUUGGAAUUUUAAUUGAUGUAAAGCUGGAUAGGUGGCCAAGAAGUUCAUGCUAGAGAUUGCAUCAAAAGUCCAACAGAUUGGUUGACAUUACAAUUUUGAUUGAAAGAAUGAAAGGAUAGGUGUUGCUGAAAAGAUGAAGCAUCAAGCUUAUAUAAUAAACAAGCAGUUUUUUUGCCAACAGCCAAUAUCUCUUUACUCCAAUGGUCCUAGUAGCUGUAGAAAAAUUCUA
RNAcentral lists this unclassified non-coding RNA (331 nucleotides) under Hevea brasiliensis (rubber tree). The record is from RNAcentral. Lineage: Eukaryota; Viridiplantae; Streptophyta; Magnoliopsida; Malpighiales; Euphorbiaceae.